This 253-nucleotide ribosomal RNA is filed under the name uncultured bacterium. Its description in RNAcentral is "partial 16S ribosomal RNA". It matches the Rfam family "Bacterial small subunit ribosomal RNA", at positions 524 to 776 of the family's 1533-position model. The record is from RNAcentral.
UACGGGGGGGGCAAGCGUUGUUCGGAAUUACUGGGCGUAAAGGGCUCGUAGGUGGCCAACUAAGUCAGACGUGAAAUCCCUCGGCUUAACCGGGGAACUGCGUCUGAUACUGGAUGGCUUGAGUUCGGGAGAGGGAUGCGGAAUUCCAGGUGUAGCGGUGAAAUGCGUAGAUAUCAGGAAGAACACCGAUGGCGAAGGCAGUUCUCUGGGACGGUACUGACGCUGAGACGCGAAAGCGUGGGGAGCGAACAGG